GGGCACCACUGGACUUAAUGGGGCUAUUAAAGAGAAGAGGAGUUUGCAUUUCUUUUUUGCAUGCAAAAAGGGUCACUGAAAACCAAUAAGGCCUUCUUAUGUCAGCCUGAACCUAAAUCAACCAUUUAGAGUACUUGUGACCCUCUCAAAAAUGCAGCUUGCCACCUGGGCCAUUUCCACGAGCAUCCAGGACUCACAGAGAUCUUCAUUUCCAGUGAAAAGCACUUGGCUCCUGAAACACAGAUGCAGAGCUGUUUGGAGAUCUACCUUGGAGCAAAAUGCAAGAAGCCCAGGAAAAAGGUACUCACUCCUCUGCAGAAGUGCUUCCAAGCUUACAGGCAUUUCCAAGGGACACUGGCCCACAUCAUGCAUCACAACACAUCCCAGCUUUGGUAUGCUGCUGCCAUUCCCUGCUUUCCCACUGCAGAUUCCUGGCUGGGGAAGAACAGACUCACAUACAGGCCUUUUCUCAUAGGCUGUUAUAGGGGACACAUCAAGUUGUACCAUCAUCUAGAUCACUCCAAGCCAGAGGACGGUGUAGCUGUGAUGCACUACAGCUCAGCACGGGUGCUGGGUAAAGGGCUGAUCUUUGGUUACUCAGAACCACUGUGGGAAGGCCAGGAAAACACUGACAACAUCUGCCAAUAAAGCCUCAAAACGGUCUCGUACUCAUAUCCUUCUGCAGGAAUGUACCUCAUGGCAGGUAAUCUGUGGGUACGCAUAGUCUCCAAGGGGACAGACACCUGCUUAUAUUAAAGGUGGAUGACACACCCGACAUACGCUUCCUUACUCACUAUGAGGCUGGAGAAGAGUUUUCCAGCUCCAGAGCAGCAUCUUUUUAGAAACUUCCUCUUUAGCUUGCCACAUGGAUACCAUAAUCAGUCAGUGUAACUCUAGAAGAGAAAACAACGCUGGAGGCUUGGAGUCAUCAAACUUUGAGCUGAUGAAUCAUCAGGCUGCAGGCUUCUGAUAAAAAAAAUAAAAAUAAAUAAAUUAAAGAAGACCUACA
Molecule: long non-coding RNA, 1009 nt
Filed under: Phasianus colchicus (ring-necked pheasant)
Lineage: Eukaryota; Metazoa; Chordata; Aves; Galliformes; Phasianidae
Description: lncRNA (ENSPCLG00000003036.1)
Source: RNAcentral